UCGGAUAUGGUGUAAUGGUUAACAUUACCGCCUCUCAUACCUACGAUUCGCGGUAGCUCGGGGUUCGAUUCCCCGUAUCCGAA
Suillus subluteus is the source of this 83-nucleotide non-coding RNA. NCBI's taxonomy places the organism in Eukaryota, Fungi, Basidiomycota, Agaricomycetes, Boletales, Suillaceae. The record is from the annotation of a GenBank genome assembly.